This 52-nucleotide transfer RNA is filed under the name Biomphalaria pfeifferi. RNAcentral's name for it is "tRNA-Leu". The record is from RNAcentral. Lineage: Eukaryota; Metazoa; Mollusca; Gastropoda; Planorbidae.
GUGGCAGAUAAAUGCAAAGAUUUUAAGAGUCUUUUAAGAAAAAUUUUUUUCC